AUUGAACGCUGGCGGCAUGCCUUACACAUGCAAGUCGAACGGUAACGGGCCUUCGGGUGCCGACGAGUGGCGAACGGGUGAGUAAUGCAUCGGAACGUACCUUUCAGUGGGGAUAACGUAGCGAAAGUUACGCUAAUACCGCAUAUUCUGUGAGCAGGAAAGCAGGGGAUCGCAAGACCUUGCGCUGAUUGAGCGGCCGAUGUCAGAUUAGCUAGUUGGUGAGGUAAAGGCUCACCAAGGCACGAUCUGUAGCGGGUCUGAGAGGAUGAUCCGCACACUGGAACUGAGACACGGUCCAGACUCCUACGGGAGGCAGCAGUGGGGAAUUUUGGACAAUGGGGCAACCCUGAUCCAGCCAU
This 359-nucleotide ribosomal RNA is filed under the name uncultured bacterium. Its description in RNAcentral is "bacterial SSU rRNA". It matches the Rfam family "Bacterial small subunit ribosomal RNA", at positions 30 to 395 of the family's 1533-position model. The record is from RNAcentral.